Molecule: long non-coding RNA, 102 nt
Organism: Ipomoea nil (Japanese morning glory)
Lineage: Eukaryota; Viridiplantae; Streptophyta; Magnoliopsida; Solanales; Convolvulaceae
Exons: 3
Source: RefSeq, a predicted model, not a curated record
GUUCUGUGAGUGAUGAUGACUUUGUUUCUUCGCCCUUGGCAUUUUUGGCGAGAUUGGAACAAGACCCGCUGUGGAAUGCCCCUGAUGAUGCAUUCAUUGUUG